This 1283-nucleotide ribosomal RNA is filed under the name Chloroflexota bacterium. RNAcentral describes it as "Chloroflexi bacterium partial 23S ribosomal RNA". It matches the Rfam family "Bacterial large subunit ribosomal RNA", at positions 4 to 1310 of the family's 2925-position model. The record is from RNAcentral. Lineage: Bacteria; Bacillati; Chloroflexota.
CAAGCUCGACAGAGAACCGGGUGGAUGCCUUGGCGCUGAAGGCCGAUGAAGGACGCGGAGACCGGCGAAACGUUCCGGGGGAGCUGCAUGCAAGCCAUGAGCCCGGGGGCGAACUGAAACAUCUCAGUAGCCUGACGAGAAAAAAUCAACCGAGAUUCCCCAAGUAGUGGCGAGCGAACGGGGAGGAGCCCAAACCAUGCCAUCUUCGGAUGGGAUGGGGUUGUAGGACCAGCAGCACGAUCACGACGGAUGUACGCCAACAGGCUGGAACGCCUGGCCAGAGACGGUGAGAGCCCGGUUGCGAGACCAUCGCUGUGAUCCGACUGGCAUCCUGAGUACCACGAACCCCGGUGAGUUUGUGGGAAGCUGGGGGGACCACCCUCCAAGGCUCAAUACCUUCAGCGACCGAUAGUGAACUAGUACCGUGAGGGAAAGGUGAAAAGUACCCCGCCAGGGGGAUGAAAGAGACCCUGAACCCCGGUUCUCACCAGCCGUCAGAGGCCACUCUCGCAGGCGCGAGUAAGGGCUGAUGGCGUGCCUUUUGUAGAAUGAUCCGGCGAGUGCAUGCGCGUCGCUGUGGUUAACCAGCGCUAAAGCUGGGGAGCCAGAGGGCCACCGAGUCCCAAGCGGGCGAGCAGGUGGCGCGCAUGCGACCCGAAACCACGUGAGCUAUCCAUGGCCAGAGUGAAGCGGCUGUGACAGGCCGUCGAGGCUCGCACUCACCAGUGUUGCAAAACUGGGGGAUGAGCUGUGGAUAGGGGUGAAAUGCCAAUCGAACGUGGAGAUAGCUGGUUCUCCCCGAAAUGCAUUGAGGUGCAGCCACGCACAAGGACUAUCCUGGAGGUAGAGCACUGGAUGGGCUCGGGGCCAAGUGCUGGUUACCAACCCCAACCAAACUGCGAAUGCCAGGACAGAGAAGCGUGAGUGAGACGAUGGGGGCUAAGCUUCAUCGUCAAAAGGGAAACAGCCCAGACCACCGGCUAAGGUCUCCAAAUAGAUGCUCAGUGUCAAAGGCCGUUCGUGCGCACAGACAGCCAGGAUGUUGGCUUAGAAGCAGCCAUCAUUGAAAGAGUGCGUAAUAGCUCACUGGUCGAGUGCACGGGCACCGACAACGUAACGAGGCUCAAGCAUCAUACCGAAGCCGUGGAUCCCCAGGUGCCUCUUUCUUCUUUCGAGAAGAAGGGCCACAGCCCGGGGAUGGUAGGGGAGCGUUCUCUGGGCAGAGAAGCUCGACCGUAAGGACGGGUGGAGCGCAGAGAAGAGCGAAUGCCGGAAUGAGUAGC